RNAcentral lists this ribosomal RNA (301 nucleotides) under uncultured bacterium. RNAcentral's name for it is "partial 16S ribosomal RNA". It matches the Rfam family "Bacterial small subunit ribosomal RNA", at positions 509 to 807 of the family's 1533-position model. The record is from RNAcentral.
CAGCAGCCACGGUAAGACAGAGGAUGCAAGCGUUAUCCGGAAUGAUUGGGCGUAAAGCGUCUGUAGGUGGCUUUUCAAGUCCGCCGUCAAAUCCCAGGGCUCAACCCUGGACAGGCGGUGGAAACUACCAAGCUGGAGUACGGUAGGGGCAGAGGGAAUUUCCGGUGUAGCGGUGAAAUGCGUAGAUAUCGGAAGGAACACCUGUGGCGAAAGCACUCUGCUGGGCCGACGCUGACACUGAGAGACGAAAGCUAGGGGAGCAAAUGGGAUUAGAUACCCCCGUAGUCCCUGUCUCUUAUAC